AAGUGUGAUGAACCACCAUCACCACACCAAGAUGAUUUUUCUCUUUAAACCAAACAGAGUAAAUUGAUAGUGUGACAAAAUGGUAACUUGUAUCUUAAGACCAUACUUAAGAGUAGUCACAAAAUUCUUGGGAACUUGGAGUGUGCUUGCGAGAAUUAGAACUAAACGUAAUUAUUUGCUGUAAAAGUAAUGAUUGAAUAUGCUACUAAAAGAAUUCCUAAUCACCUCCAAAAAUAAUCAUCGAUUUCGUAACUCUCUAAGCCUAUUUCAACUAAUCACGCUUUAAUUGUU
Molecule: long non-coding RNA, 291 nt
Filed under: Carica papaya (papaya)
Lineage: Eukaryota; Viridiplantae; Streptophyta; Magnoliopsida; Brassicales; Caricaceae
Description: long non-coding RNA (CPAP_LNC008198)
Source: RNAcentral